This 352-nucleotide ribosomal RNA is filed under the name uncultured bacterium. Its description in RNAcentral is "bacterial SSU rRNA". It matches the Rfam family "Bacterial small subunit ribosomal RNA", at positions 8 to 351 of the family's 1533-position model. The record is from RNAcentral.
AGAGUUUGAUCAUGGCUCAGGAUGAACGCUAGCUACAGGCUUAACACAUGCAAGUCGAGGGGCAGCAUUUUAGUUUGCUUGCAAACUAAAGAUGGCGACCGGCGCACGGGUGAGUAACACGUAUCCAACCUGCCGAUAACUCGGGGAUAGCCUUUCGAAAGAAAGAUUAANAUCCGAUAGUAUAUUAAAACCGCAUGGUUUUACUAUUAAAGAAUUUCGGUUAUCGAUGGGGAUGCGUUCCAUUAGUUGUUGGCGGGUAACGGCCCACCAAGACUACGAUGGAUAGGGGUUCUGAGAGGAAGGUCCCCCACAUUGGAACUGAGACACGGUCCAAACUCCGUACGGGAGGCAA